This 773-nucleotide ribosomal RNA is filed under the name uncultured Neocallimastigales. RNAcentral's name for it is "partial large subunit ribosomal RNA". It matches the Rfam family "Eukaryotic large subunit ribosomal RNA", at positions 22 to 649 of the family's 3401-position model. Lineage: Eukaryota; Fungi; Neocallimastigomycota; Neocallimastigomycetes; Neocallimastigales. The record is from RNAcentral.
UACACGCUGUGACUAGCAUAUCAAUAAGCGGAGGAAAAGGAACUAACAAGGAUUCCCUUAGUAACGGCGAGUGAAGCGGGAAGAGCUCAAAUUUGAAAUCUUGAAAGGUCACCUUUCACGAAUUGUAGUUUAAAGAAGUGUUUUCUGUUACGAUCGUAAUAUAAGUUCUUUGGAAUAGGACAUCACAGAGGGUGAGAAUCCUGUCUAUGAUUGCGAUUUGUAGCUUUGUGAUACACUUUCAAAGAGUCGGGUUGUUUGGGAAUGCAGCCCAAAACGGGAGGUAAAUUUCUUCUAAGGCUAAAUAUUGGCGAGAGACCGAUAGCGAACAAGUACCGUGAGGGAAAGAUGAAAAGAACUUUGAAAAGAGAGUUAAACUAGUACGUGAAAUUGUCAAAAGGGAAGCGUUUAACACCAGUGUUGUUUUCUCGAAAAUCAACCUCUGUUAGCUUUAUGCAUGUUUGUUUAGACCUAAUCAGCUAUCUUGCAUGUUCUAUUGUUUGCAGUGGUGCACUUUUCAUGUUUACAGGUCAACAUCAGUUUUUUUUACCGUAAAAAAGUUAAAGAAAGGUAGCUCAUGGCUCCGGUCGUGAGUGUUAUAGUCUUUUUCCUAUGCGGUAGGAGAGACUGAGGCCUGCAGUGUAGGCUAUUUGGCUAGAUACUCAGGUGCUAUGUGAUACCAUUUCAUAAACAACUUGUUGAUUAUGUUUUGUCUAUUGCAUACUCGCUUGUACUAUCAUACCUACGCUUAGGAUGUUGAGUAGCGACAUACGCAC